UAGGGAAUCUUCGGCAAUGGGGGGAACCCUGACCGAGCAACGCCGCGUGAGUGAAGAAGGUUUUCGGAUCGUAAAGCUCUGUUGUUAAGGAAGAACGAGUGUGAGAAUGGAAAGUUCAUGCUGUGACGGUACUUAACCAGAAAGGGACGGCUAACUACGUGCCAGCAGCCGCGGUAAUACGUAGGUCCCGAGCGUUGUCCGGAAUUAUUGGGCGUAACGCGCGCGCAGGUGGUUUAGAAAGUCUGAUGUGAAAGCCCACGGCUCAACCGUGGAGGGUCAUUGGAAACUAAUAAACUUGAGUGCAGGAGAGAAAAGUGGAAUUCCUAGUGUAGCGGUGAAAUGCGUAGAGAUUAGGAGGAACACCGGUGGCGAAAGCGGCUUUUUGGCCUGCAACUGACACUGAGGCGCGAAAGCGUGGGGAGCAAACAGG
RNAcentral lists this ribosomal RNA (430 nucleotides) under Verrucomicrobiota bacterium. RNAcentral describes it as "Verrucomicrobia bacterium partial 16S ribosomal RNA". It matches the Rfam family "Bacterial small subunit ribosomal RNA", at positions 355 to 776 of the family's 1533-position model. Lineage: Bacteria; Pseudomonadati; Verrucomicrobiota. The record is from RNAcentral.